UCUUAUUGCUCUAAAGACACUAACUGCCUCUUAGUGUUUUAAGAGGGCCUAGCUGGUACUUGGAUGGGAAACCACCUGGGAAUACCGAGUGCUGUAUGCA
This 100-nucleotide ribosomal RNA is filed under the name Nomascus leucogenys (northern white-cheeked gibbon). The record is from RNAcentral. Lineage: Eukaryota; Metazoa; Chordata; Mammalia; Primates; Hylobatidae.